This 749-nucleotide ribosomal RNA is filed under the name Microbacterium aurantiacum. RNAcentral describes it as "partial 16S ribosomal RNA". It matches the Rfam family "Bacterial small subunit ribosomal RNA", at positions 70 to 833 of the family's 1533-position model. The record is from RNAcentral. Lineage: Bacteria; Bacillati; Actinomycetota; Actinomycetes; Micrococcales; Microbacteriaceae.
GAAGCCAAGCUUGCUUGGUGGAUCAGUGGCGAACGGGUGAGUAACACGUGAGCAACCUGCCCUGGACUCUGGGAUAAGCGCUGGAAACGGCGUCUAAUACUGGAUAUGAGCCCCUAUCGCAUGGUGGGGGUUGGAAAGAUUUUUUGGUCUGGGAUGGGCUCGCGGCCUAUCAGCUUGUUGGUGAGGUAAUGGCUCACCAAGGCGUCGACGGGUAGCCGGCCUGAGAGGGUGACCGGCCACACUGGGACUGAGACACGGCCCAGACUCCUACGGGAGGCAGCAGUGGGGAAUAUUGCACAAUGGGCGAAAGCCUGAUGCAGCAACGCCGCGUGAGGGAUGACGGCCUUCGGGUUGUAAACCUCUUUUAGCAGGGAAGAAGCGAAAGUGACGGUACCUGCAGAAAAAGCGCCGGCUAACUACGUGCCAGCAGCCGCGGUAAUACGUAGGGCGCAAGCGUUAUCCGGAAUUAUUGGGCGUAAAGAGCUCGUAGGCGGUUUGUCGCGUCUGCUGUGAAAUCCCGAGGCUCAACCUCGGGCCUGCAGUGGGUACGGGCAGACUAGAGUGCGGUAGGGGAGAUUGGAAUUCCUGGUGUAGCGGUGGAAUGCGCAGAUAUCAGGAGGAACACCGAUGGCGAAGGCAGAUCUCUGGGCCGUAACUGACGCUGAGGAGCGAAAGGGUGGGGAGCAAACAGGCUUAGAUACCCUGGUAGUCCACCCCGUAAACGUUGGGAACUAGUUGUGGGGACCAUU